This 603-nucleotide ribosomal RNA is filed under the name Streptomyces sp. SCAU7017. RNAcentral describes it as "bacterial SSU rRNA". It matches the Rfam family "Bacterial small subunit ribosomal RNA", at positions 86 to 703 of the family's 1533-position model. The record is from RNAcentral. Lineage: Bacteria; Bacillati; Actinomycetota; Actinomycetes; Kitasatosporales; Streptomycetaceae.
GGUGGAUUAGUGGCGAACGGGUGAGUAACACGUGGGCAAUCUGCCCUUCACUCUGGGACAAGCCCUGGAAACGGGGUCUAAUACCGGAUAACACUCUGUCCCGCAUGGGACGGGGUUAAAAGCUCCGGCGGUGAAGGAUGAGCCCGCGGCCUAUCAGCUUGUUGGUGGGGUAAUGGCCUACCAAGGCGACGACGGGUAGCCGGCCUGAGAGGGCGACCGGCCACACUGGGACUGAGACACGGCCCAGACUCCUACGGGAGGCAGCAGUGGGGAAUAUUGCACAAUGGGCGAAAGCCUGAUGCAGCGACGCCGCGUGAGGGAUGACGGCCUUCGGGUUGUAAACCUCUUUCAGCAGGGAAGAAGCGAAAGUGACGGUACCUGCAGAAGAAGCGCCGGCUAACUACGUGCCAGCAGCCGCGGUAAUACGUAGGGCGCAAGCGUUGUCCGGAAUUAUUGGGCGUAAAGAGCUCGUAGGCGGCUUGUCACGUCGGAUGUGAAAGCCCGGGGCUUAACCCCGGGUCUGCAUUCGAUACGGGCUAGCUAGAGUGUGGUAGGGGAGAUCGGAAUUCCUGGUGUAGCGGUGAAAUGCGCAGAUAUCAGGAG